RNAcentral lists this ribosomal RNA (243 nucleotides) under Staphylococcus aureus. Its description in RNAcentral is "partial 23S ribosomal RNA". It matches the Rfam family "Bacterial large subunit ribosomal RNA", at positions 12 to 252 of the family's 2925-position model. The record is from RNAcentral. Lineage: Bacteria; Bacillati; Bacillota; Bacilli; Caryophanales; Staphylococcaceae.
UAAGGGCGCACGGUGGAUGCCUUGGCACUAGAAGCCGAUGAAGGACGUUACUAACGACGAUAUGCUUUGGGGAGCUGUAAGUAAGCUUUGAUCCAGAGAUUUCCGAAUGGGGAAACCCAGCAUGAGUUAUGUCAUGUUAUCGAUAUGUGAAUACAUAGCAUAUCAGAAGGCACACCCGGAGAACUGAAACAUCUUAGUACCCGGAGGAAGAGAAAGAAAAUUCGAUUCCCUUAGUAGCGGCGA